RNAcentral lists this long non-coding RNA (102 nucleotides) under Piliocolobus tephrosceles (Ugandan red Colobus). RNAcentral's name for it is "lncRNA (ENSPTEG00000025470.1)". Lineage: Eukaryota; Metazoa; Chordata; Mammalia; Primates; Cercopithecidae. The record is from RNAcentral.
CCUUACAAUUUCAACUCUUCCUUGGAGGAAAAUGAGAAGUGCCAGUCUGGAUUCUAAAGCACUCACUGGCCUUGAGCACUGAGAAAUUUCUUUGCUGCGUGC